GGAUUUUGAGCCAAUUAUCAGUAUCAACACAACUCAAAGCACAAUUCUCCCAUUAAAUUUUGACCCGCAACUGAACCGGGGUGACGGUCGGUCCGAGUCGGAUAACUAUUCUGUCCACACACGUGCUCUAUCAUACUUAAGAACGUCAGAUCCAAAACUCCAUAAUCAGAAGGAAGUUGAUUUUGUUAAGCACCUUAAACGCAGCGUUUUGAUGAUCAUUCGUGUAGAUCUGGUGUGUCCCUUGCAUACCAACUUAUUCUCUCUCAGAUCACAUUGCGAUCCAAAUUGAGCUUGAGUGAUUCUAGGGUUUUACAGAGCUGAGAUUGAUGCUGUAUAGAUCGUGAAAAUGGAUUCGCAGCCUUCCCAAUCGGGAAGGUUCAUGGCUGAAGCUGCAACCACCCUUGGCAAUAGUGAAACCCGCUUUGGAAGAACCACUUCGUCGUCCACCAAAUCUGUCCCGGACGGGAGUAGCCAGAGCUUGGCUUCCAUUCUCAACAAUCCUCUCGUCGGAAAAUCCGGCGUUUACAGCUCCGAUUCGUGGGUCGGGUGGUGGUCCUCGUCGACGGCGGUCAGUCCGCCGGAGUUCUCGCCGUUGGUGUCCGGCAAGGCCUCUUCGGAAGUUGCUCGAUCCGAUUUUCAGCCAUACUUAGCCUCGAUCUCGGAGCCGUAUGGUCGUUUCGAGGACAUUCGGAAUCAUAAGAGCAAAGAAAAUGGAGAAUUGGAAGGUUUUGGCAUGUCGAAAAACGGGGAAAUUCAAGGUCAGGGUGAGGCUCUCAUGGCGUGUUUGAGAGAGGUACCGUCGCUGUAUUUCAAAGAGGAUUUUGCGCUGGAAGAGGGCGCGACGUUCCGGGCGGCUUGCCCGUUCACGACGGCGUCGGAGAAUCUUGUUCUGCAGGAGAAGCUGUCGCAGUAUUUGGAUGUGGUUGAAUUGCAUUUGGUGAAGGAGAUUUCUCUGCGGUCCAAUUCGUUUUUUGAGGCGCAAGGGCAAUUGCAAGACUUGAAUGUGAAGAUUGUGGAGGGGUGUAGUCGGAUCCGAGAGCUAAAGGAGACUAUAAGGCUCUUGGAUUCGGAUUUAGUAGAUUCUGCAAAGCAAAUUCAGGAGUUGAAUGCGACUAGAAGCAAUUUGCUGGCACUUCAACAGAAAUUGAAGCUUAUACUAUAUGUCAACCAAGCUCUCUCGGCUCUCAAACUGCUUAUUGCAUCUGCAGAUUGUGCUGGUGCUCUGGAUGUCACUGAUGAUCUGCAACAUUUGUUGGAUGGUGAUGAGCUUACUGGUUUGCAUUGUUUUCGUCACCUUCGGGAUCGUGUAGCAACUUCAAUAGAUUCUAUAAACAGCAUUCUUUCAGCAGAAUUCAUGCGUGCAUCUAUACAUGAUGCUGGAAAUAUGGAUGCUGUAAUUCUGUCAAAUGCAAAAGCAGGGGCUUCUAUUAUGACAAAUGGAAAGGAUGAAGACGUUAAGUUGGAUGAGGAAGAAACUUCUAAUUUCCGAGAUCGUCUUCUCCCUUUCAUUAUUGGAUUGCUGAGAACUGCAAAACUCCCAUCUGUGUUGAGGAUAUAUCGUGAUACACUUACAGCUGAUAUGAAAACUGCUAUCAAGACUGCAGUUGCAGAGCUGCUUCCAGUUCUUGUUGCCCGACCAUUGGAUUCGGAUUUUGCACCAGGAGAGCGAAUGGUUGAUGCUGAUGGUGGAGGUUCAUCACUUGCAAGCAAGUUGAGAAGCCUAUCAUCAGAAAGCUUUGUUCAACUUUUAGGUGCUAUUUUCAAGAUUGUCGAGGCACAUUUACUGCGAGCUGCUGAAGUGAAAAGGGCCAUUGAGUGGAUUAUGUGCAACCUUGAUGAUCACUAUGCUGCUGAUUCAGUUGCUGCUGCAAUUGCACUUGGUGCAGCAGUUGCAGAAGCAGCUCAAGAAAGUGAUACUCAAAUUAGUUCUUUUCUGUCAUAUUCUCCUCAAAGGAAUGCUGGGAAGAUUAAUAUUCAGGGAAAGACAAAUGAUGCAGCAAGUCCAUCAAAUAUGUCAAAAAAUUUCCGAGCUGAUGUAUUGCGAGAGAACACAGAAGCUGUUUUUGCGGCUUGUGAUGCUGCUCAUGGAAGAUGGGCAAAACUCCUUGGUGUUCGUGCUCUUCUUCAUCCUAGGUUGAGAUUGCAGGAGUUCUUAAGCAUUUACAACAUCACCCAGGAAUUUAUUAGUGCUACGGAGAAGAUUGGUGGAAGGUUGGGUUAUAGCAUUCGGGGAACACUACAGUCACAGGCUAAAGCCUUUGUUGAGUUUCAGCAUGAAUCUCGAAUGGCAAAAAUAAAGGCAGUGCUUGACCAAGAAACAUGGGUUGAAGUAGAUGUUCCUGAUGAAUUUCAGGCUAUAGUCACUUCUCUAUUUUCUUUGGAACCUUUGAUCACUGGAAACCUAGUUGAUGCUCAAGGUAAUACGGCAACAAACUAUGGUGAAGUGGUCUCAAGCAAUGAUGCAUCAAGCAUGGUGGACAGUGGACUGUCAAAUAAUCAGCCGCAUAUUGAGCAGAAUGAUUCUAUUGAAACAUCUGCUGAUGUUAAUGCGCAAGUGAAAUCUUCAUCAUUGGAUAGUGCAACUGAAAGAAGUAAAGCUGAUGUUAUAACUGCUUCGGCACAAUAUAAUAGUAGUAACAUGAAGGAGCGUGGAAAAUCUACCUCUCAUACCCUUAUUUAUGGAGGUGUUGGUUAUCACAUGGUAAACUGUGGCUUAAUCUUGCUGAAGAUGUUGUCAGAGUACAUUGAUAUGAAUAACUUCUUUCCUGCACUGUCUUCAGAAGUUGUUCAUCGUGUUGUUGAAAUUUUAAAAUUUUUCAAUACACGAACUUGUCAACUUGUUCUCGGUGCUGGUGCCAUGCAGGUGUCUGGUUUGAAGUCCAUCACUUCUAAACACUUGGCACUGGCAAGUCAGGUCAUCAGUUUUACAUUUGCUAUUAUUCCAGAAAUCAGGAGGAUUCUUUUUCUCAAAGUACCUGAAACACGAAGACCAUUAUUGCUCUCUGAGAUUGAUCGAGUAGCUCAGGAUUAUAAGGUUCACAGGGAAGAGAUACAUACAAAGCUAGUUCAGAUAAUGAGAGAAAGGUUAUUGGUCCAUCUGCGUGGGUUGCCUCAAAUUGUUGAGAGUUGGAACAGACCUGAAGAUAAUGAUCCACAGCCUAGUCAGUUUGCUCGAUCCCUAACGAAGGAAGUUGGGUAUCUUCAGCGUGUCUUAUCUCGAACUCUGCAUGAGGUAGAUGUUCAAGCAAUUUUCAGGCAAGUGGUUAUAAUUUUCCAUUCUCAAAUUUCAGAAGCAUUUUCACACUUAGAGAUCAAUACCCCACAAGCAAGGAACAGGCUGUAUCGGGAUGUUCAACACAUUCUUGGCUGCAUCCGAUCAUUACCUUCUGAUAGUUUGGGUAAAUCUGGUACCCCAAACUCAGGGCAGCUUGAUGAAUUCUUGGUGAAGAGAUUUGGUACUGAAGCUGGUUGAUGGAUGUUAGUUUAGAGGAGCAAUUUAGAUAUUCCUCUGAUGAAGACUAACCUGAUUUAAAGAGACCAUUUGAGGAUCGAGAACCAAUAUUCACCAUAUUCAUUGGAGUGAUUGCUUUGGGUUAACAAGGUGUUUGAUAUGCGGCAGAGGGAGGGUCUUCAACCAGAGUUUUUGUAGCAGUCCAUAAUCAAUAUACAAUUUGUAAUGAUAGGACCCUUGACAUUUUGUUCCCUUUGAUUGUAUCUUUGGGUUUAGAUAUAAAGGGAACAAGAAAAUAGCUUUGGUUUUCAAGUUUUUUUUUUUUUUUUUUUUUCUUCGUUUUCAUGGGGCUUAAUUUAUUUGCAAAUUCAGAGCAAUUGUAUCAGUAUUGGAUUUCUACAAAAUAUGCUUUCCGAAAUCAUAAAUAAGAGGUGUCUUUCUUUUGGUUC
This is an RNA transcript of Vitis vinifera (wine grape), 3900 nucleotides long. It is a transcript of the gene named vacuolar protein sorting-associated protein 54, chloroplastic, with no coding region annotated. The record is from RefSeq and is a predicted model, not a curated record. The transcript has 19 exons. NCBI's taxonomy places the organism in Eukaryota, Viridiplantae, Streptophyta, Magnoliopsida, Vitales, Vitaceae.